AGCUUUGCCCAGUGGCAGUAUCAUAGCCAAUGAGGUUUAUCCGAGGCGCGAUUAUUGCUAAUUGAAAACAAUUCCAUAUAUGAUAGCAUCUAAUAAACACUAUCACAUAUUAAGUAAUUGUUAAAUGUUUUUAACUGAA
Molecule: small nuclear RNA, 139 nt
Organism: Neomonachus schauinslandi (Hawaiian monk seal)
Lineage: Eukaryota; Metazoa; Chordata; Mammalia; Carnivora; Phocidae
Product: U4 spliceosomal RNA
Exons: 1
Source: RefSeq, a predicted model, not a curated record